Molecule: ribosomal RNA, 431 nt
Filed under: uncultured bacterium
Lineage: Bacteria
Description: bacterial SSU rRNA
Rfam family: Bacterial small subunit ribosomal RNA
Source: RNAcentral
UCGAGGAUCUUCGGCAAUGGGCGCAAGCCUGACCGAGCGACGCCGCGUGUGCGAUGAAGGCCUUCGGGUUGUAAAGCACUGUCGAGGGGAAGAAAGCCGCAAGGUUGAUCGACCCCUGGAGGAAGCACGGGCUAAGUUCGUGCCAGCAGCCGCGGUAAGACGAACCGUGCGAACGUUGUUCGGAAUCACUGGGCUUAAAGGGCGCGUAGGCGGGUGAUCAAGUCAGGGGUGAAAUCCUGCGGCUUAACCGUAGAAGAGCCUUUGAUACUGGUUGUCUAGAGGGAGAUAGGGGCAUGUGGAACUUCCGGUGGAGCGGUGAAAUGCGUAGAUAUCGGAAGGAACGCCGGUGGCGAAAGCGACGUGCUGGAUCUCUUCUGACGCUGAGGCGCGAAAGCUAGGGGAGCAAACGGGAUUAGAUACCCCUGUAGUCC